AGAGUUUGAUCCUGGCUCAGAAUCAACGCUGGCGGCGUGCCUCAGACAUGCAAGUCGAACGAUUAAACUUUCCUUCGGGAAAGAUAUAAAGUGGCGCACGGGUGAGUAACACGUAGGUAAUCUACCUUUGAGUGGGGAAUAACGUUCGGAAACGAACGCUAAUACCGCAUAAUGCAGCGGCACCGCAAGGUGACAGUUGUUAAAGGAGCAAUUCGCUUAAAGAGGAGCCUGCGGCAGAUUAGCUAGUUGGUAAGGUAAUGGCUUACCAAGGCUACGAUCUGUAACCGACCUGAGAGGGUGGUCGGUCACACUGACACUGAAUAACGGGUCAGACUCCUACGGGAGGCAGCAGUCGGGAAUUUUGGGCAAUGGGCGAAAGCCUGACCCAGCAACGCCGCGUGAAGGAUGAAGUCUUUCGGGAUGUAAACUUCGUAAGAAUAGGAAGAAUAAAUGACGGUACUAUUUGUAAGGUCCGGCUAACUACGUGCCAGCAGCCGCGGUAAUACGUAGGGACCAAGCGUUGUUCGGAUUUACUGGGCGUAAAGGGCACGUAGGCGGCAAUUCAAGUCAGUUGUGAAAUCUCCGAGCUUAACUCGGAACGGUCAACUGAUACUGUUUUGCUAGAGUACAGAAGGGGCAAUCGGAAUUCUUGGUGUAGCGGUGAAAUGCGUANAUAUCAAGAGGAACACCUGANGGUGAAGACGGGUUGCUGGGCUGAUACUGACGC
RNAcentral lists this ribosomal RNA (727 nucleotides) under uncultured bacterium. RNAcentral's name for it is "bacterial SSU rRNA". It matches the Rfam family "Bacterial small subunit ribosomal RNA", at positions 8 to 746 of the family's 1533-position model. The record is from RNAcentral.